UGGGGAAUUUUGGACAAUGGGCGAAAGCCUGAUCCAGCAAUGCCGCGUGUGUGAAGAAGGCCUUCGGGUUGUAAAGCACUUUUGUCCGGAAAGAAAUCCUUGGCUCUAAUACAGUCGGGGGAUGACGGUACCGGAAGAAUAAGCACCGGCUAACUACGUGCCAGCAGCCGCGGUAAUACGUAGGGUGCAAGCGUUAAUCGGGAAUUACUGGGCGUAAAGCGUGCGCAGGCGGUUUGCUAAGACCGAUGUGAAAUCCCCGGGCUCAACCUGGGAACUGCAUUGGUGACUGGCAGGCUAGAGUAUGGCAGAGGGGGGUAGAAUUCCACGUGUAGCAGUGAAAUGCGUAGAGAUGUGGAGGAAUACCGAUGGCGAAGGCAGCCCCCUGGGCCAAUACUGACGCUCAUGCACGAAAGCGUGGGGGAGCAAAACAGGAUUAGAUACCCUGGUAGUCCACGCCCUAAACGAUGUCAACUAGUUGUUGGGGAUUCAUUUCCUUAGUAACGUAGCUAACGCGUGAAGUUGACCGCCUGGGGAGUACGGUCGCAAGAUUAAAACUCAAAUGAAUUGACGGGGUCAUAGCUGUUUCCU
RNAcentral lists this ribosomal RNA (588 nucleotides) under uncultured bacterium. Its description in RNAcentral is "partial 16S ribosomal RNA". It matches the Rfam family "Bacterial small subunit ribosomal RNA", at positions 355 to 1375 of the family's 1533-position model. The record is from RNAcentral.